This 266-nucleotide ribosomal RNA is filed under the name uncultured bacterium. Its description in RNAcentral is "partial small subunit ribosomal RNA". It matches the Rfam family "Bacterial small subunit ribosomal RNA", at positions 26 to 285 of the family's 1533-position model. The record is from RNAcentral.
AGGACGAACGCUGGCGGCGUGCUUAACACAUGCAAGUCGAGCGGUAAGGCCUCCUUCGGGGGGUACACGAGCGGCGAACGGGUGAGUAACACGUGGGUGACCUGCCCUCAGCUCUGGGAUAAGCCUGGGAAAACCGGGUCUAAUACCGGAUGGGACUGCUUGCCGCAUGGUGGGUGGUGGAAAGUUUUUUUCGGCGUGGGGAGUGGGCCCGCGGCCUAUCAGCUUGUUGGGUGGGGUGAGUGGCCUACCGAAGGCGGUGACGGGUA